CAAUAGCGUAUAUUUAAGUUGCUGCAGUUAAAAAGCUCGUAGUUGGAUUUCGGGUGGGAAUGGCCGGUCCGCCGUUUCGGUGUGCACUUGCUACGCCCACCUUGCUGCCGGGGACGUGCUCUUGAGUUCACGCUCGGGACACGGAGUCGGCGAGGUUACUUUUAGUAAAUUAGAGUGUUCAAAGCAGGCCUACGCUCUGAAUACAUUAGCAUGGAAUAACACGAUAGGACUCUGGCCUAUCUUGUUGGUCUGUAGGACCGGAGUAAUGAUUAAGAGGGACAGUCGGGGGCAUUCGUAUUUCAUUGUCAGAGGUGAAAUUCUUGGAUUUAUGAAAGACGAACUACUGCGAAAGCAUUUGCCAAGGAUGUUUUCAUUAA
RNAcentral lists this ribosomal RNA (377 nucleotides) under uncultured eukaryote. RNAcentral describes it as "partial 18S ribosomal RNA". It matches the Rfam family "Eukaryotic small subunit ribosomal RNA", at positions 592 to 976 of the family's 1831-position model. The record is from RNAcentral.